Molecule: long non-coding RNA, 504 nt
Organism: Gorilla gorilla gorilla (western lowland gorilla)
Lineage: Eukaryota; Metazoa; Chordata; Mammalia; Primates; Hominidae
Exons: 4
Source: RefSeq, a predicted model, not a curated record
UCCCCAGUCACCCUACCAAUGGUGUUUCUAUUCAGUCAUCUUUUCCCACUGAUGUGGCAGGUCUGUGACAUUUUACACAGCCUGCCUCCAGGCUGGUUAUGUGAGCCGCCCACGCUCACCCAGCUAAUAAACAGGAGGUGGACACUUGAAUCCCGGGCAGCUGGAUCGCAUGGUGAAGCCAAUAUGUCAGGAGACAACCAUCAUUUAAAAGGAAUGAGUAACCCUGGGAGGGGUGUUCCUCCAGAGUCCACAGACCCCAAGAUGUCAAAGCAUCACAAUAAGAAGGUGCAUUUAAUAGAAGAAGGAUGAGCACAUGAGCUGGCACCUAUGGUGGUCAUAUGCCUUCAGAGCAUUGGAUAACAAGUCUUCAAGAAAGGAGGAGAAAAUGGACUUCAGCGAAUGGUUUCAUGGGGCUCUGGGGCCAUCAUGUGGUGACAAGCAGGCGCAUAGAGCACGAGAAAGAAGAGAAAGAAGGGGAGAAAGGCAUCACAGGCUGUCAGCAAG